RNAcentral lists this ribosomal RNA (611 nucleotides) under uncultured Roseomonas sp. RNAcentral's name for it is "bacterial SSU rRNA". It matches the Rfam family "Bacterial small subunit ribosomal RNA", at positions 84 to 728 of the family's 1533-position model. The record is from RNAcentral. Lineage: Bacteria; Pseudomonadati; Pseudomonadota; Alphaproteobacteria; Acetobacterales; Roseomonadaceae.
CAGCAAUGUCAGUGGCGGACGGGUGAGUAACACGUAGGAAUGUGUCUUGAGGUGGGGGACAACCCUGGGAAACUAGGGCUAAUACCGCAUAUGUCCUGAGGGACAAAGCAGCGAUGCGCCUUGAGAGUAGCCUGCGUCCGAUUAGCUAGUUGGUGGGGUAAAGGCCUACCAAGGCGACGAUCGGUAGCUGGUCUGAGAGGACGACCAGCCACACUGGGACUGAGACACGGCCCAGACUCCUACGGGAGGCAGCAGUGGGGAAUAUUGGACAAUGGGCGCAAGCCUGAUCCAGCAAUGCCGCGUGGGUGAAGAAGGUCUUCGGAUCGUAAAGCCCUUUCGGCGGGGACGAUGAUGACGGUACCCGCAGAAGAAGCCCCGGCUAACUUCGUGCCAGCAGCCGCGGUAAUACGAAGGGGGCUAGCGUUACUCGGAAUUACUGGGCGUAAAGGGCGCGUAGGCGGCGCACCAAGUUAGGCGUGAAAGUCCUGGGCUCAACCUGGGAACUGCGCUUGAUACUGGUGUGCUUGAGGAUGGAAGAGGGUUGUGGAAUUCCCAGUGUAUAGGUGAAAUUCGUAGAUAUUGGGAAGAACACCGGUGGCGAAGGCGGCAAC